UACACACCGCCCGUCACACCAUGGGAGCUGGAAAGACCCAAAGGGCUCGCGCCAACCGCAAGGAGGCAGAGUCUCAAGGUCGGGCCGGUGACUGGGGUG
Molecule: ribosomal RNA, 99 nt
Filed under: uncultured bacterium
Lineage: Bacteria
Description: partial 16S ribosomal RNA
Rfam family: Bacterial small subunit ribosomal RNA
Source: RNAcentral